GUUCAGUUCCUGCGUCUCAUCCUAUCUCCUCUGCAGCCCUUGCCCUCAUGGUUCCUCACUGCUAAGGGACAGAUCUUGGCGCUGCGUGGCUCCGGGGUAUGUUUGAGUUAUUUGGUGGUGAGCAGUACGACAAGUUUCACCUUGCUUGUCACUGCAGGGCAAACGGUCACAUCUGGGUUUCCAGAAGACAUGCCAUUCCUUUUGACAUUAGAACAAGACGUCCCAGGGAGAUGAAAUGACCAAACAACCCGCUAACUCCCCCAACAUCAAAUGGCGAGAAAGAAGCCAAAAUGGAGACAGAAGUUACCAGGGAGA
Gasterosteus aculeatus aculeatus (three-spined stickleback) is the source of this 315-nucleotide long non-coding RNA. Lineage: Eukaryota; Metazoa; Chordata; Actinopteri; Perciformes; Gasterosteidae. The record is from Ensembl.